UGUCGUCAGCUCGUGUUGUGAAAUGUUGGGUUAAGUCCCGCAACGAGCGCAACCCUUAUCCUUUGUUGCCAGCGGUCCGGCCGGGAACUCAAAGGAGACUGCCAGUGAUAAACUGGAGGAAGGUGGGGAUGACGUCAAGUCAUCAUGGCCCUUACGACCAGGGCUACACACGUGCUACAAUGGCGCAUACAAAGAGAAGCGACCUCGCGAGAGCAAGCGGACCUCAUAAAGUGCGUCGUAGUCCGGAUUGGAGUCUGCAACUCGACUCCAUGAAGUCGGAAUCGCUAGUAAUCGUGGAUCAGAAUGCCACGG
Molecule: ribosomal RNA, 312 nt
Filed under: Escherichia coli
Lineage: Bacteria; Pseudomonadati; Pseudomonadota; Gammaproteobacteria; Enterobacterales; Enterobacteriaceae
Description: bacterial SSU rRNA
Rfam family: Bacterial small subunit ribosomal RNA
Source: RNAcentral